UAGAGUUUGAUCCUGGCUCAGAGAGAUACUGGCGGCAGGCCUAACACAUGUAAGUCGAACGGCAGCAUCAGAGGAAACUGGCUCCUUGGGUGGCGAGUGGCGGACGGGUGAGGAAUACAUCGGAAUCUGCCUAUUUGUGGGGGAUAACGUAGGGAAACUUACGCUAAUACCGCAUACGACCUAUGGGUGAAAGCGGAGGACCUUCGGGCUUCGCGCAGAUAGAUGAGCCGAUGUCGGAUUAACUAGUUGGCGGGGUAAAGGCCCACCAAGGCGACGAUCCGUAGCUGGUCUGAGAGGAUGAUCAGCCACACUGGAACUGAGACACGGUCCAUACUCCUACGGGAGGCAGCAGUGGGGAAUAUUGGACAAUGGGCGCAAGCCUGAUCCAGCCAUGCCGCGUGGGUGAAGAAGGCCUUCGGGUUGUAAAGCCCUUUUUGUUGGGAAAGAAAAACAGUCGGUUAAUACCCGAUUGUUCUGACGGUACCCACAAGAAUAAAGCACCGGCUAACUUCGUGCCAGCAGCCGCGGUAAUACGAAGAGGUGCAAGCGUUACUCGGGAAUUACUGGGCGUAAAAGCGUGCGUAGGUGGUUGUUAAAUCUGAUGUGAAAGCCCUGG
RNAcentral lists this ribosomal RNA (616 nucleotides) under Enterobacter sp. RNAcentral describes it as "bacterial SSU rRNA". It matches the Rfam family "Bacterial small subunit ribosomal RNA", at positions 1 to 606 of the family's 1533-position model. Lineage: Bacteria; Pseudomonadati; Pseudomonadota; Gammaproteobacteria; Enterobacterales; Enterobacteriaceae. The record is from RNAcentral.